This 4210-nucleotide unclassified non-coding RNA is filed under the name Haliotis rufescens (red abalone). Its description in RNAcentral is "alpha-(1,3)-fucosyltransferase C-like, transcript variant X1". Lineage: Eukaryota; Metazoa; Mollusca; Gastropoda; Lepetellida; Haliotidae. The record is from RNAcentral.
GUUCCACAUUAAAUACAAAGAUGUCGCUGUCUGGUUGUGGCAGAAAGCUUAACUCUAUCAACUCAACCUCGUUGUUACCCGGCCCUGCAAAUGCGACAGCUGGCUGCAUUCUGUGUCAGACGGUGCUGAAGGAAUACUAUGGAAUGACAGUCCUCGUAAUCUCAGCUGACGCCAUAGUAUCAAUCUUCGUCUCCAUAGUCUCCGACACAUGAUGCCAACACGACUGUUUGCAAAAUGCAAAUUUACACUCAAACAUAUUUUCAUAUAUAUGAUUGUAUUUUGUGUAACGUUUAUUAUAUAUUGCAUAACAAGCACAACGGUAUUAAACGUCAGGAAGCCCUUACUUAAAUUUCAUCCACGAGAAUUUUCAAACUCCUCCCACAAAACCAUACUCCUUUGGACGUCUUUUUUCGGGUCGUCGAGUUGGAAUGUGAACUUUAAAUUACCUAAAUGUAAAAGAUAUUCCCCAAAAACAUGUGAAUUGACUUCAGAUCGAUCUCGUCUUGAGACAAGCGAAGCUGUUCUGUUUCAUUUAGGCAACAUAGUCACAAUCCCUUCGGAAAGACUAACGCAACAAAUCUGGGUACUUUUUAAUAUGGAGCCACUUCCAAAAAUUCGCCGAGAUCUUAAGCAGUACAAUGGUGUUUUCAACUGGACCAGCUGGUACCGGAGACAGUCAACAGUGCCUAUGUAUUAUGGAUGGGUUGAAACGAAACUUGACAAAAGUGGGGCAGUACUCAAAGACAUAUUCGCGGAGAAAACCAAAAUGGUAUUCUGGGCAGCGAGCAAUUGCGAAGACGAUGCCCACCGAUAUAGAACUGUGAAAGAGUUGCAGAGAUAUAUAGACGUAGACACGUACGGGGAAUGUGGUGAUAUACAAUGUAGCAGAUGGGACAAAACGUGCAAUGAAAAGUUAAAAAAAUAUAAAUUUGUCCUUUCUUUUGAGAACUCUCACUGUAAGGAUUAUGUGACUGAGAAAUACUGGCUGGCGUUGCAGAGAGAACAAAUCCCCAUUGUUCAUGGUGGAGCUGAUUACAAAGCGUUGGUGCCCCCACGAUCUUUCAUUAAUGUCAGAGACUUCCCCAGCAUCUCAGCACUAGCGACAUAUAUCAUUACAGUAGCUCAGAACAGGACUUUAUAUAACAGCUAUUUUGAUUGGAUGAGAUACUAUCACCUCCCACCAUGCCUGGAAACCAUGAACUGUUUUGACUUAGAGAAUUAUUUUUGUUCGCUGUGCGGAGCUCUGCACGACCGGGGUAUACCUGGCCAAACGUAUACCAAUCUGUAUAAGUGGGCGACGGAUGACCUCCCGCAGUGCAAAGAAUAUACGCGUUUCAGAUCUUGGUGGAACAGUUUAUCGAGGAUGCUCUUCAAGAUCGGUCUCUGAGUGAGGAUUGAGUAUGGUUUUACACCGCCAAUCUAUUCGAAGUCUAUGAGAUACUAUCAGUCACGUGACAGUGAGUGAGAGCUGCAUGUACACCAAGCACUAUACAAGAACGACCAGACCGGUGGGAACGUUCAAGCAGAGUGACACCGUCAUGUAUAGGUGCCCUCGCGACUGACGUUAACUCUAGUGAUGUUGGAUCCAAAUCCCCCUACCCCUACCAUCACGACAGACAUGGCCAUAGGCCUGUCUCCAACAUCGACACUCGGCAAACCAGGACAGGUUCUUGUAGACGCCCUUAAGACACGUGAUCAGCAGAAGCGAAGAGAACUCGAGAACAAUUCCUUGAUUCGAUGGCAAAGAAAUUAAAAAGACAAAAGUUUAAUAAACUUGAUCUAUUCAGAAUCUCAGGAAGUAAGGAACUUUUGAAUGAAUAUGUUGUAAUUAAGAAUAAAUAUAGAGAAAUGUGUAGACAGAAGAGAUUGAAGCAUGAUGAACAUUGUAUAAAUGAUCUGGUCAAUAAUAGUAAAAGUGGUAAAUCCUUCUGGAGACGCAUCAACAAUAUUAUUUCUUCACCUUCUGUGACAGGGAACCCAGGUAUUACCAAUAUGCAGUGGACCGAAUAUUUCCAGCAUGUGUUUAAUUUAACUGGUAUACUUGUGGAUGAGGACAAUCUAGAUGAGGCAGAAACAUUUAUGAACAAUCAUGAUAUAAAUGAGUGCAAUUACUGUAAUGAUGAUGUUAUGACUAAUCUCCUUAAUGCUGAUAUAACUGAAGAAGAAGUAUCAUCAGCUAUACAUAACUUGAAACUGGGUAAAUCGGCUGGACCGGAUGGAAUUCUACCGGAAAUGGUGAAAUGUUGUAGUACUUCAAUCAUAUCAUACUUAACUAUAGUUUUUAAUAGGAUUAUGCAAAGUGGUGUAUUCCCUUACGAGUGGGCAAAGGGUAUAGUAGUUCCCCUGCAUAAGAAAGAUAAUAUAAAUGAUGUCAAUAAUUAUAGAGGAAUAACGCUGAUGGAUGUAUUUGGAAAGUUGACGACAACAAUAUUAAAUGAUAGACUCAAGACUUUUGCCGACGUUUAUGAUACAAUCCGUGAAUCUCAGGCAGGAUUCCGAAGCGGAUACAGUACAAUUGAUAAUAUAUUUACAUUACAAUGUUUAGCACAAAAAUAUCUCUCUAAACGUCGGGGUAAAUUUUAUUGUUUGUUUGUUGAUUUCCGUAAAGCAUUCGAUUCGAUUAACCGAAAUCUCUUGUGGUAUUCAUUAAUGAAAAAUGGAAUACAUGGUCGUUUAUUGGUGGUUUUGAAGGAUCUAUACUCUAAGAUCAAGUGUGCUGUCAGGACAUCAAAUAACUCUCUUUUAGAUUAUUUCGAAUCACUGAGUGGUGUAAGACAGGGUGGUGUUGAGUCCUUUUCUGUUCACGAUGUUUAUCCAUGAAUUACAGUCAAUGAUAGAAAGUAGUGAUAUGCGAGGGAUUUUUAUUGGAGAGGAGUUUAUGGACAUAUUACUUUUACUAUAUGCAGAUGAUUUGUGUAUUUUUGAUGACACAGUAAUAGGUCUGCAAAGAAAAAUUGAUAUUUUAUCCAAUUUUUGUAAAAAGUGGGGACUUGAAAUUAACAUGUCUAAAACCAAAAUUUUGGUUUUCAGAAGAGGUGGUACUUUAAGGUAUGAUGAACGAUGGUUUUUGAAUGAUAAACGUAUAAAUGUAAGUACUUACUAUAGUUAUCUGGGUGUUCUGUUUUCAAAUAGAUUGUCUUGGACUAAAUGCAUUGAUACUCUCAAGAUAAAAGCCAAUAAGGCUUUGUUUGCCAUUAAACAAUUGCAAUUUCACUUUGUAAAUAUGCCAGUUAACAUUUUAUUUAAAUUGUUUGACAUUAAGAUAAAGCCCAUUCUUCUUUAUGGUGCUGAGAUCUGGGGCUGCAAAGGUAGUCAAAUUGUCGAAACUUUUCAUACUAAGUUUUGUAAAUUUGUUUUAGGAGUUGGUAAAUAUGUAUCAAGUACGGCAAUAUUAGCUGAAUGUGGAAGAAAUGGUUUGCAUGUGGAUUAUCAUAUGAAGUGUGUUAAUUACUGGUGUAAACUGAUUAGAAUGAAUGAUGAAAGAUAUCCCCGACAGUGUUAUUUGUUAAUGAAGAAGCUGGAUGAAUGUGGUAGAAUUACUUGGGCAACUCAUGUUAAAUAUUUACUCGACAUAUAUGGAUUUGGUAAUGUGUGGUACGAACAGAAUAUUGGUGAUGUUAAGUGUUUCUUGCAGCUAUUUAGACAACGUUUGUUGAAUUGCAACAAACAGAGUAUACAGAUGAAAAUUUAUGAGUCUCGUAAAUUAAGGUAUUAUUCACACGUCAAGAUAUUAUUGGAUAUGGAAUAUUAUGUUACAGCUUUCAGAAAUAGAGACCAUAGACGUAUGAUGUGCCUGUUGCGAUUAAGUGAAUUGCCUAUACGGAGUAAUCUGGGCAGAAGAGAGGAUAUUGAUUCUUCACAACGCUUUUGUAGGCUAUGUAACAAUGGUUGUAUUGAGGACGAAGUCCAUUUUGUGUUUGUCUGCCCGUUUUACGCAACAAUAAGACAAAAGUAUAUUCCUGUGAGAUUCUAUAACAAUCCAUGUAUUAAGACUUUUAGUAAUCUCUUAAAUAGCAAAAAUGACUGUAUACUCAGAAAUGUAGCUAAGUAUGUGAAGGAAGCCCUAUUAUUACGUACCAAGUCCUAAUAUUAUACCCUUAAGAUUGUUUGCAAUGUAAAUUGUCUCAAUUGUAUAAUUGUAUAUUACUAUAUAUAACUGAAAUGUACAUGGGCCUAUGGCCUCCCAUACAUGAAUAAACACACUUUAAAA